Molecule: long non-coding RNA, 5403 nt
Organism: Oncorhynchus tshawytscha (Chinook salmon)
Lineage: Eukaryota; Metazoa; Chordata; Actinopteri; Salmoniformes; Salmonidae
Source: Ensembl
GGUGAAUACAGUCGGUCAGAAAGCAAACACAGCAACAUGACUCUGAAACAUACCAGACGGGUGGAGUAAGGAUGGUAAGCUUGUAUUUUAUUACAAAACAGAGCAGGUGAAUACAGUCGGUCAGUAAACAAACACAGCAACAUGACUCUGAAACAUACCAGACGGGUGGAGUAAGGAUGGUCAGCUUGUAUUUUAUUACAAAACAGAGCAGGUGAAUACAGUCGGUCAGUAAACAAACACAGCAACAUGACUCUGAAACAUACCAGACGGGUGGAGUAAGGAUGGUCAGCUUGUAUUUUAUUACAAAACAGAGCAGUUAUUUGGGAGAGUAAGGAGAGCGUGUAAACAUACAUUAUUCAUACAAAGACAAAGAAUAGCAAGAGAUAAUAUACAGCUUCAACACAAAUAUAGGAAACGUGGGUAAUUGAUAUAUAGGAAUAUACGUAGGAAAUAGCAACAGAAUCCUCCAUGUUGCUUUCAUUGCAGCCUCAUGGUUUUAAAUGUGGGUAAUUGAUAUAUAGGAAUAUACGUAGGAAAUAACAGAAUCCUCCAUGUUGCUUUCAUUGCAGCCUCAUGGUUUUAAACGUGGGUAAUUGUGAAUACUUGACUGUUAGUGCUAAAGGAGAGAGAACUGUGAAUAUAGUCUCGUCAACCAGGCUACUAUGACUAUACUGUAACAAAUAAAUUCUGUUAGCAUUUUCUUUUCUAGGAGAUAAAAUGUUGAAACAAUUACACUAUUUAUGGCUCGACUGAAAUCAGAGAGAGAGCCUUUAAUAACAGAUAGAAAAAGUACAAUGAUUCAAAUCAACAAAGAAGCAGAGCCAGAAUAUUUGACCUUUACCUGGAUAUCUACAUUGAUUAACCAAUCAAGGAGGAAGGACCAGAAGUCUGGCAGGCUCUCAUAACUCUGAGCUCCAUAACCAAAGUUAUUUGUGAUUACAUUACUUGAUGCUCAUUGGUCAGUCUUAGGAUUCAUCCAAAAUGGCACCCUAUUCCCUUUACAGUACUUCUGGUCCCUAGUGCACUAUAUAGGGAAUAGGGUGCCAUUUGGGAUGAAUGGACCCGGGUUAUUCCCUAUGGAUUAUGGUAAAAAGUAGGUCACUAUAUAGGGAAUAGGGUGCCAUUUGGGAUGAAUGGACCCGGGUUAUUCCCUAUGGAUUAUGGUAAAAAAGUAGGUCACUGUAUAGGAAAUAUGUUGCGAUUUGGGACGUAGACUGAGUUAUGACUGAGAAUUAAUAUAGGCGUCACUAUUAAGAUACCUGGAAUAAGGUCUGUUCACUGGCAUAUUCACUCACUGUUGCCCACACUAGAAAAAUGACCAAUCUCACACAGGGUAAAAAAGGAACAGUCAGCCACCUUAAUGCAUCCCUGUACAGAUAAGAUACCUGUGAAGAAGUCGUCUUCUUCAAUAAUGCUUUUCUUUCUGAAGCCAAACACACAUAUUUAUACACAGGGGCGAAUCUUUGGUUUUAGAAGUUGGGGAGGAAAUAUCAAAAACAAAAUGUAUCCAGUCAGAUAAACACUCCAAACAGCCUACCCAACCUCAGAGGCAUCCGCAUGGUCCUAAAGCACACCGUUGCCUCGUUUAGUAUCACGUUCCAAUGAUAAAACUGGGGGGCGGACGACAAAAAUACAAUUUCCGAAUGUGGGGGGGGGACAUGUCCCCCCUGUUCCCAGUGAAAGUUGCAAUCCCGUUUAUACACAUCUUUCAUUAACACUUUGUGUAUUUAAAUAGUCAUUUUAACAGAUAUUCUCUGUCUGUAUGUCCAGACACAAAGCAUCAUCAACAUGUUACAGACCACAACACAGUUAGCGUCUGGUUUAACACAGCAGAACUGAUGCGUCGGUGUGGUUCAACAACAACAAAUUAAAAUGGAGAGAUUCUACCUGAACGUCUCCAAUAACAACACAAAGGUUAAUUUUCUAUUGCAAAACAUUUUGCUACGGUGUGCCCUAAUGAACACUAAAACGGUCCAGUUCAAUAGUGAGACAGCUGGACUGUCCUAGUGAGGGCCCUAGAGGUGAGUGAGAACCGCAUCCCAAAUGGCACCCUAUCUUGGACCCGGGCCUACAGGGCCCAAUGUAGGGAACAGGGUGCCAUUUGGAAUGCAACGGACAUGUUGAUGCAGUCAGGCCAGGUGCACUCGACUACUGGUGCACUCGACUACUGGUGCACUCGACUACUGGUGCACUCGACUACUGGUGCACUCGACUACUGCAGCUAUGAACAGUUUCUACCUCUCUUUUUAAGUGGGGAAGGAAGGAAGUGGUUAGCUGUUAUUAUCAGACACUCUGUAGCCUGUUAGCUCUGACAUGAUUGCAGUACCUGACUGACACACACUUGCAGAAGGAUUUUCAUUGCAGAGAAAUAUGGACAAAUCAUAGGCAAAUAGAAGCAGAGAAUUUGCAUCCGAAUUUCACAAAACUGAUCUAACCUGAUCUGCAGGUGGAGAAAGAGGAACACACACACACACCUCUCCAGUUUGGUGUACACACACACACACACACACACACACACACACACACACACACACACACACACCUCUCCAGUUUGGUGUACACACACUUCUCUCUGCUCUAAACGUCCUGCUGUAACCAGUGUUUGAUAACCGCCACACGGUCCUAUGCUUCCAUCUGUCUGCUUUACGACCCUCCUAACGCUAGUUAACCAACAGCAUCAGGCUGGGAGAGUUAAGGCUAAACUCUCAACGCUAGUUAACCAACAGCAUCGGGCUGGGAGAGUUAAGGCUAAACUCUCAACGCUAGGGAAACAGAGGAAAAUCUCCUCCCGCCCACAGUCCACUUUAUUACAGGAAAUGACAAGGGGUUGAGGCAACACCAACAGACAAAUAGGUUACUUUGUCACAGUAAUGAACGUGUGUACCAUGUCACAGUAAUGAAUGUGUGUACCAAGACACUGAUAAUGUGAGGAAAAUGUCAGUUAGAAUGUGAAACAGAACUGGUGUUGAUGUAACAAUGAACUAACUAGAUGAUUUAUCAUUCUGACAGGUAGCAGGCUCUAGUCAAGAUGCUAUAGCUAGCAGGCUCUAGUCAAGAUGCUAUAGCUAGCAGGCUCUAGUCACAAUGUUGUUAUAGGUAGCAGGCUCUAGUCACGAUGCUAUAGCUAGCAGGCUCUAGUCACGAUGCUACAGGCAGCAGGCUCCAGUCACGAUGUUAUAGGGAGCAGGCUCUAGUCAAGAUGCUAUACACUACUGUUCAAAAGUUUAAUGGAAUAUCUACAUAGGCGUACAGAGCCCCAUUAUCAGCAACUAUCAUGCCUGUGUUCCAAUGGCACGUUUUGUUAACUAAUUCAGGUUUAAAAUUUUAAAAAGUCUAAUUGAUCAUUAGCCUUUUGCAAUUAUGUUAGCACAGCUGAAAACUGUUGUCCUGAUUAAAGAAGCAUCUGCACUUGUGGGUUCGAUUACAGGCUCAAAAUGGCCAGAAACAAAGGACUUUCUUCUGAAACUCGUCAGUCUAUUCUUGUUCUGAGAAAUGAAGCAAUGGCUCUUCAUGAAGGCCAUGCGAGAAAUUGCCAAGAAACUGAAGCUCUCGUACAACGCUGUUUACUACUCCCUUCACAGAACAGUGCAAACUGGCGCUUACCAGAAUAGGAGUGGGAGGCCCCGGUGCACAAGUGAGCAAGGGGACAAGUACAUUAGAGUGUCUAGUUUGAGAAACAGAUGCCGCACACGUCCUCAACUGGCAGCUUCAUUAAAUAGUACCCUCAAAACACCAGUCUCAACAUCAACAGUGAAGAGGCGACUCCAGGAUGCUGGCCUUCUAGGCAGAGUUACAAAGAAAAAGCCAUCUCUCAAACUGGCCAAUAAAAAGAAAAGAUUAAGAUUGGGAAAAUAACAGACACUGGACAGAGGAAGAUUUGAAAAAAGUGUUAUGGACAGACUAAUCUAAGUUUGAGGUGUUCGGAUCACAAAGAACAUUCAUGAAACGCAGAAAAAAUGAAAAGACGCUGGAGGAGUGAUGACGCCAUCUGUCAAGCAUGGUGGAGGCAAUGUGAUGUUCGGUGGUGUUUUGGUGGUGGUAAAGUGGGAGAUUUGUACAGGGUAAAAGGGAUCUUGAAGAAGGAAGGCUAUCAUUCCAUUUUGCAUUUUGUAUGUCAUACCCCGUGGACAGCACUUAAUUGGAGCCAAUUUCCUCCUACAACAGGACAAUGACCCAAAGCACAGCUCCAAACUAUGCAAGAACUAUUUAGGGAAGAAGCAGACAGCUGGUAUUCUUUCUAUAAUGGUAUGGCCAGCACAGUCACCAGAUCUCAACCCUAUUGAGCUGUUGUGGGAGCAGCUUGACCGUAUGGUACGUAAGAAGUGCCCAUCAAGCCAAUCCAAUUUGUGGGAGGUGCUUCAGGAAGCAUGGGGUGAAAUCUCUUCAGAUUACCUCAACAAAUUGAUAACUACAUUGACAAAGGUCUGCAAGGCUGUAAUUGCUGCAAAUGGAGGAUUCUUUGACAAAAGCAAAAGGACACUAUUUUUUCAAUUAAAAUAAUUAUUAAUUUGGCAACUAAUUUCAGUUAAGUUUUCAUGGAAAACAAGGCCAUUUCUAAGUGACCACAAACUUUUGAACAGUAGUGUAGCUAGCAGGCUCUAGUCACAAUGUUGUAGCUAGCAGGCUCUAGUCACAAUGUUGUAGCUAGCAGGCUCUAGUCACAAUGUUGUAGCUAGCAGGCUCUAGUCACAAUAUUGUAGCUAGCAGGCUCUAGUCACAAUGCUAUAGCUAGCAGGCUCUAGGCACAAUUUUAUAGGUAGCAGGCUCUAGUAAAGAUUCUCUACCAGGCUCUAGCAUGGAACAAGCCUCAUCUCAGCUGGUGGAGUGAUACACACAACACAAGCCUUUUAUUGUGACAGACAGGCAGCCAGGUCCCCAGCACCGCGGUAACAGUAGAUCUCUGUUCCGGCCAGACUACUUGAUUACACCAACACAGUUCCACUUAACAGGCAGAGAGGAGCACAGAACAAGAGAGGAGCUACAUCAUAUGAAAUGGCACAGAUUAUCAAGGAAGAAAAGCCCUUAUUAUUAUUAUGAUGACACAAGUAAAGGGAAUGAAUAGCACUGGACAGAGGCUUAAUAAAGUCAUGUUUAUCAACAUGUUGAUAAGUGUCUCUCCUAAAUUCACUUGUUCACACACUUGGACUGCUCUUCCAUGCGGGUUCUCUCAGUGUACAGACAGACAGUAGCUGUAAUGUGGUGUGUGUGUGUGUGAGGGAGAAGUUAGCAAGCUGUUCUGUAUGUAACAGAUGGAGUUUCUAUUCAUCCAGAAGGAGCCAGUGUCCUACAGACCGUCUUCCCCUUUCUCCCUGAAGCAGGAUCCCAGUCCACAGAUCCCAGUUCACAGAUCCCAGUCUACAGAUCCCAGUCCACAGAUCCCAGUCCACAGAUCCCAGUUCACAG